Molecule: long non-coding RNA, 1512 nt
Organism: Juglans regia (Persian walnut)
Lineage: Eukaryota; Viridiplantae; Streptophyta; Magnoliopsida; Fagales; Juglandaceae
Exons: 4
Source: RefSeq, a predicted model, not a curated record
ACCUUUCCCUCCCCUCACUCUCCUCCCUCUCAUGCGUACAACGUACGCCUCUCCCCCUCUCAUCGAUUCUUCCAUAGCCCAGCCCGGCGCCACCGUACGCCGCCAAAUCUCACCUCCACCACCGGCAGCUUCCCCUCACACCGGCGACCUCCCACCGUCAAAGCCAGCCUCCACCGCACGGCCACUCUCUCCCACGCACAGACGCAACCUCUCACACACGGUUUCACCGUGCGCAGCCCUUUCCACCGCCGUAUGCGGCCACCCAGGCCACCACACCGCCACCAACACCCUCCCCUCCCACCGGUGAACCUCUACCAUGGAACCCAAGCCACGGCAACCUCCCUCUCCCCUUCCGUCGCACGCACGCACGAAACCCAUAAAUGGGUUUCGCACGGCUUCAAGGCCACCGACGGCCCUAGCGCCGCCGUGCACCGGUUCCAGCCCCACCGAGCACCACCACGAGCUCCCCCUUCCCUUCCCCUUCCUCCUCCCCUUGGUCCGAAGCCCAUAGCCCCUUCCUCAGCCGCACGGAGCUCCUUCGACGCACGGGUUCUCCAUACCCACGGCGGAGCUCCGCCUCCCACGGCCACUGCACCACCACCAAGAGCUUCCCCUUCCACCGGCGACCUCCCCUAGCCACUCCCAGGUCCAGCCGAGCCACCUAGCUCCCGCACUCUCUCUCACUCUCCCACGGCUCCUCUCCACUUUACGGCUCAGAUCCGCCGCCGUAGACCACCGUGGCGCCACCCAGCGCCAUCUCAAGUUCCACCGCACCUCCCUCAGCUCCUCCAUGGCCAGUCAUGACCAGCCAAGCCUCCCUCCGGAUUCCCAUGUCGAGACCCACGACCAUAGCUCCUCCACGAGCCGCCGUGUCUCUGACGAAUGUCACCUCAGCACCACCACGAGACCACCACUCCAAAAUUACGACCUGACCCUCCUACACUUAGACCAGCACCUCUAGCCACCUCUAAUGGCCAAGGCAGCCAUUGUACGUAUGACCCUUCUGACAUCAUCAAUUGUGACGAUCAGUGAGCAACGCACGGGUUAUCCUGUCGAUGGGUUUGAAACAGUGAUAUCGUAUUGCUCUUCAUCCACACGGUUGUCCCUCUAUUUGGUCUUCUACUUGUGUUUUGGAAGGGGCUAAGAGCUUAAGGACCUAUAUUGAUGAUGGAAGUAUCGAGGAGCAUAGAGGAAAUGACGAGAAGUUUGGGAAGCAAUGCAUUACUGCAGAGGGAGGGGCAGACGUUUAGGACCUUCCCUAACUAGAACAGUUAUGUUUAUGGAUGAUAGGUUAUGUUUUUAUGAAUGUAUGGACUCUAAAGAGUAGUUUGGAUUCAGAGAUGAGUUGAGAUGGUUUGUGAAUAGUAGAAUAAAAAUUAAAUUAUUUAUUAUAUUUUGUGUGAAAAUUGAGAAAGUUAUAAUGAUGAGUAAGAUGAGUUGAAGUGGGUUUUGAAUGCAAACAAGGCCUAAGAGUCUUUUAUAGAUGAAUGUUCAAAUAAAAUGUCCAUCAGA